GUGCACCAGUCGCGAAACCUCCGCAAUACACGAAAGUGUGACGGGGCCAUCCCGAGUGCCGUCCGCUGAGGACGGCUUUUCCCCAGUGUACACAGCUGGGGGAAUAAGGAGAGGGCAAGCCUGGUGUCAGCCGCCGCGGUAAUACCAGCUCUCCGAGUGGUGGGGACGCUUAUUGGGCCUAAAGCAUCCGUAGCCGGCUGGGCAAGUCCUCCGUUAAAUCCAACGAUUCAAUCGUUGGGCUGCGGGGGAUACUGUCCAGCUUGGGGGCGGGAGAGGCCGACGGUAUUCCCGGGGUAGGGGUGAAAUCCUAUAAUCCCGGGAGGACCACCAGUGGCGAAGGCUGUCGGCUAGAACGCGCCCGACGGUGAGGGAUGAAAGCUGGGGGAGCGAACCGGAUUAGAUA
This 403-nucleotide ribosomal RNA is filed under the name uncultured microorganism. RNAcentral describes it as "bacterial SSU rRNA". It matches the Rfam family "Archaeal small subunit ribosomal RNA", at positions 330 to 735 of the family's 1478-position model. The record is from RNAcentral.